RNAcentral lists this transfer RNA (58 nucleotides) under Rattus norvegicus (Norway rat). It matches the Rfam family "tRNA", at positions 8 to 63 of the family's 71-position model. From Rfam's summary of the family: Transfer RNA (tRNA) molecules are approximately 80 nucleotides in length. Their secondary structure includes four short double-helical elements and three loops (D, anti-codon, and T loops). Lineage: Eukaryota; Metazoa; Chordata; Mammalia; Rodentia; Muridae. The record is from Rfam by way of RNAcentral.
UAGCUCAGUGGUUAAGAGCACUGUCUGCUCUUCCAGAGGUCCUGGGUUCAAUUCCCAG